GCUGGGGUAGCUCAGCCGGUAGAGCAGCUGAUUCGUAAUCAGCAGGUCGAGGGUUCGAGUCCCUUCCUCAGCUCCA
This 76-nucleotide transfer RNA is filed under the name Bacillota bacterium. RNAcentral describes it as "tRNA-Thr". It matches the Rfam family "tRNA". From Rfam's summary of the family: Transfer RNA (tRNA) molecules are approximately 80 nucleotides in length. Their secondary structure includes four short double-helical elements and three loops (D, anti-codon, and T loops). Further hydrogen bonds mediate the characteristic L-shaped molecular structure. tRNAs have two regions of fundamental functional importance: the anti-codon, which is responsible for specific mRNA codon recognition, and the 3' end, to which the tRNAs corresponding amino acid is attached (by aminoacyl-tRNA synthetases). tRNAs cope with the degeneracy of the genetic code in two manners: having more than one tRNA (with a specific anti-codon) for a particular amino acid; and 'wobble' base-pairing, i.e. permitting non-standard base-pairing at the 3rd anti-codon position. RNAcentral also lists the same sequence under 1 other name. Lineage: Bacteria; Bacillati; Bacillota. The record is from RNAcentral.